Molecule: transfer RNA, 73 nt
Filed under: Marmota marmota marmota (Alpine marmot)
Lineage: Eukaryota; Metazoa; Chordata; Mammalia; Rodentia; Sciuridae
Also listed under: 2 other names
Rfam family: tRNA
About the family: Transfer RNA (tRNA) molecules are approximately 80 nucleotides in length. Their secondary structure includes four short double-helical elements and three loops (D, anti-codon, and T loops).
Source: Rfam by way of RNAcentral
GGGGAUGUGGCUCAGGGAUAGGGCACUUGCCUGACAUGCACCAAGGCCCUGGGUUCAAUCCCUGGCACCACCA